This 96-nucleotide transfer RNA is filed under the name Tilletia horrida. RNAcentral describes it as "tRNA-Leu". It matches the Rfam family "tRNA". Rfam says of the family: Transfer RNA (tRNA) molecules are approximately 80 nucleotides in length. The record is from RNAcentral. Lineage: Eukaryota; Fungi; Basidiomycota; Exobasidiomycetes; Tilletiales; Tilletiaceae.
GGCGAGAUGGCCGAGCGGUCUAAGGCGCUACGUUAAGGUUCAUCUUAAUCAAUUCCGUAGUCCGAAAGGGCGUGGGUUCGAAUCCCACUCUCGUCA